This 253-nucleotide ribosomal RNA is filed under the name uncultured bacterium. RNAcentral's name for it is "partial 16S ribosomal RNA". It matches the Rfam family "Bacterial small subunit ribosomal RNA", at positions 524 to 776 of the family's 1533-position model. The record is from RNAcentral.
UACGUAGGGGGCAAGCGUUGUCCGGAAUCAUUGGGCGUAAAGCGCGCGUAGGCGGCCCGGUAAGUCCGCUCUGAAAGUCCAGGGCUUAACCCUGGAAAGCGGGUGGAUACUGCCGGGCUUGAAUCCAGAAGAGGCGAGUGGAAUUCCUGGUGUAGCGGUGGAAUGCGCAGAUAUCAGGAGGAACACCAAUAGCGAAGGCAGCUCGCUGGGACGGUAUUGACGCUAAGGCGCGAAAGCGUGGGGAGCAAACAGG